RNAcentral lists this ribosomal RNA (416 nucleotides) under uncultured bacterium. RNAcentral describes it as "bacterial SSU rRNA". It matches the Rfam family "Bacterial small subunit ribosomal RNA", at positions 355 to 776 of the family's 1533-position model. The record is from RNAcentral.
UGAGGAAUUUUGCGCAAUGGGGGAAACCCUGACGCAGCGACGCCGCGUGGAGGAAGACGGCCUUCGGGUUGUAAACUCCUGUCAGAGGUGAAGAAUGCCCGCAAGGGCUUGACGGUAACCUCAGAGGAAGCCCCGGCUAACUACGUGCCAGCAGCCGCGGUAAUACGUAGGGGGCGAGCGUUGCUCGGAAUUACUGGGCGUAAAGGGAGUGCAGGCGGCCGGUUAAGUCAAAGAUGAAAUCCCGAGGCUUAACUUCGGAAUGGUCUUUGAUACUGAUCGGCUUGAGGCUGGUUGAGGAGAGCGGAAUUCCCGGUGGAGCGGUGAAAUGCGUAGAUAUCGGGAGGAACACCAGAGGCGAAGGCGGCUCUCUAAACUAGUCCUGACGCUGAGACUCGAAAGCUAGGGGAGCAAACGGG